UAAACAUCAUCUAUAGUCUGCAUGCUGAAAGGCAAAAUUGUGGGUCUGGAAUGUUUGGACUAACGAGUUUUACCACACACCUCUCACAGUAAAUGCUAAUUAAAGCACAAUGGGGCCUCAAGGCCACUUAGCAGGAAAGUGUAAGGCCUCACCAGGUUGAUUUUACAGCGGCAUUUGGUAAUUUGAUGAAAAUCACAGGCAUGUGACCCGCAGUUAAACAACGCAGAACACGUUCAAGUGCCAGCAAUCCCGGUUCACUUCCUGCUCCUCUGUGUGAAGAUAAUGGUCGUUCUCCCCGUGACCGUGUGAGUUCCCUCCAGAUCCUUUGCACAUUCCGACGCUGUACAGGUUAAGCUUUGUUUUGGGACUCUGAUCUCGGUCAUAUUGGGGUUAGGCCUCUCC
Molecule: long non-coding RNA, 402 nt
Organism: Hypanus sabinus (Atlantic stingray)
Lineage: Eukaryota; Metazoa; Chordata; Chondrichthyes; Myliobatiformes; Dasyatidae
Exons: 3
Source: RefSeq, a predicted model, not a curated record